GUACAUGGAACAUGUCUUAUCAUAAUAAUACUGGUUUGUAUAAGCUAUUUUAACAUAACGCGUGGUAGUUAAUUCAUGUACGCUUUCACAAUUUUGUAAGAAACAUAUAAUCAUUGUUAUCAUGAUUUCUUUUUAUUCAACAAUAAAUUGCAUGCUGUUAACAAUUUACUUCGAUAGUCCAACAAUAUAGUGACGGGUCUCUCUGGUUAUCAGUAUUACAUUACAAUUCAUCUACAUUAAUUCAUUUUUAAUCGUGAUAAAAACAAGUAUAUAUGAAAAUUCUUAUUCAUCGAUAUUUUCUAGCUUGUACUAUGGUAAAAAUAGUUUUCGGUAAUAGAAUGAAAUUCAAAACAGUGUGGCUGUGGCCAUUGAUUGACACAUUAAAUUCAUCCAUUGACUGGGACAAUUUAGGUGAACGUUUGUAUGUAACGACAACUGCUCACUAUGUACUUUUUAAAGACACUUAAACUAUGGGGUCACCAAAGGUUCUCAACACCUUAAUAAAGUAAUUCGAAAAAUUAAUCAGAAAUAACACGAUGUUUUGAUUUAUAUCAAUUAUAUAAAUCAAAACAUAAAGGUUAUUCCUGAUUAUAUUUUCUGAUUAUUUUAUAAUUAAAGGCGUUAAGAACCUUUGGUGACCCCACAGUUUAAAUGUAUCGUAAGGUAACGUCGGGACAGUGGUCGUUACAGACAAACGUUCACGUAAAUUGUCCCAGUCAAUGGAUGAAUUUAAUGUGUCAAUCAAUGGCCACAGCCACACUGUUUUGAAUUUCAUUCUAGUAUUAACUCUCCGUUAUCAAUUUACUAAAACUUUUAUAUUGUAUAAUAAUAUCUCUUCCUGGUACAUGUGGUAUGGAAAUAACCAGUUCUAAAAGUGAUUUAAAAAUAUGAUUUUAAGCUUUUCACAGGUAUGUCUGUCAGAAUAAAAAUUUCAAUGAAGUCAUAUUCUGAGCAAAUAAAAAUGUUCUUCUUUUUUUUUUAUAUAACUAUAAACAAUUGAGGAUAAUAGACGUAUAUCAGUGAUAAGUAAAAUUAUUUUUCUUAAUCAGUUCCAGACCUAGAAUUUUAUAAUCUAUUUACCUUUUCCUUUUCUUUUUUCACUGGAUUAUACAUUUUCAAAAUAGAAAUUAUUAGAACAGUUUGACAGUUUAUCAAGUAGACAUUUAUUCUUAGUAUGCUUACUAUAAUUGCCUGUAUUUUGUAGAUUAACAUGAAUUCUACUUAAAAUACAGAAUAUACAUCUUCAGAUUUUGUUUUUUAAAUGAUAUGUAUUGUCAUAAAAUAAUUAAUUUCAUUGUAUUGCCAAUAAUUUAUUAUAUUAUCCCAUACUAAAAUUCUUAAUGUUAGAAAAUAUUGUUAUUAAUAUUCAGUUUUUUCGAGAAGUUUCAUAAUUUUACUGUAGAAAUGUUUAAGAAAGUGGCUUUGACGAAACAUGUGAUCAUAAUCCUCUGUGCUGUUGCAAUAACGACAAUUUGAAAUGUUGCAGAUCUUCCACUUUUUCAAUAAAACUCUUACAAGGCAAAAUAAAGUGUAGCAAUUUCCAACUUAUUUUCUGUUAAAUAAUGAUGAACAAAUUUUAACAUAUAAUAAACUCAUCAUGGAUAUCAGGGCUAAAUUUAGUAUAUACGCCAGACGCGCGUUUCGUCUACAAAGACUCAUCAGUGACGCUCGAAUCCAAAAAAGUUAAAAAUAACGUAAUAAAUAAAUAAAAUACGAAGUUGAAGAGCAUUUAGAACCAAAAUUCCUAAACAUUUUGCCAAAUACAGCUAAGGUGAUCUAUAACAUGAAACACUCUUAUUGUAUUCAAUGUUAUCGUGAUUUGUAUGGUCAUAUACUUAUAUAUGGUUAUUGUUUUCCUUAAAACUGCGUCCGAAAAAUUAUGAGUUUGAUCACAUUCGUAUGAAACCUUAGACCCAAUAAAAGGUAUUUGAUGUUUCCCCCAAACUAUAAAUAACAGCAAAGACUUAUGCAUGUAACCUUUUAAAGUUCCCGUCCUUCAUAUGCAAGUAAUAUUUGAUGUUUGAUAUUGAAUCAAACAUACUUUUAACACAAACACAUCUUUUAUCAACAAACGACUCACCAUUGACGCUUAAAAUAAAAAAAAUAAAAUUAACAGGCGGAUAUCAUAUGGAAUUCAAUAUAUAUAAAAAUACCAUUAGCUCUUUAUUUUAGAAGACAUACACCGUCUAAGAACGGUGUUUGGAUUGCUUAUAUCUGUUUUUAUCAGAUGAUUGUACUAAAUGUAGAUAUGAAAUUUGAAUCAUAUUGUCAUGACAGUACUAUUUUAUUGUGAUAAAUUGUACUUAUACUUUUAAUUUAACAAAGUAAAAAUAUAUUCCCAGUGAAACAGAAUAGUGCUAUAUCUAUCUAUGUCUUUUAAUAGGAUCAAUGCAGAUUAAACUACGGACAGCCCUAGACAAUUUGACUUUGAAUUUAACUAUUUAUAUUGGUUCACGACCAAAGGAGAGAAAUAAUCAUAUGACAAGAUUCACAUGGAAGUCGUCCGAUGCCUGCGAUCCACGAAACAUGGACAUUGAACUUGCCCAGUAUCAUAAUGAAAAAAAUUGGGAAACCUGAAACACACGAAUG
RNAcentral lists this long non-coding RNA (2589 nucleotides) under Mytilus galloprovincialis (Mediterranean mussel). The record is from RNAcentral. Lineage: Eukaryota; Metazoa; Mollusca; Bivalvia; Mytilida; Mytilidae.